AUAUGAGGGACUUAACUCUAAAGAGAUGAGUGUCACUAUUCAGUAGCGGGCAGGUGUGAAACAAUGAAGUUCCUGCUCAUCGCCUCGCUCUAUCUCGUCUCAUCUUGGGGUGUCCCAUCAGGCGUACCUGUUGUGACCCAGACUCCUGAUGUCUCUGUCACUGAGGGGGAGACAGUAAACAUCACCUGCUGCUGGACAGUAAAGUUUGAAAGAAUGAGCGUUACCUGGCUGAAGAAUCAAACAGUGAUAAAGACUGAACUGAAAUACCCAAAUAACUCUCAAGCAUCUCUGCAAAAGGAGAGAUCUGGAUGCUCAUAUUUGACCUUUAUGAAUAUUACAAGAGAGGAUUCAGGGAGAUACACCUGCAGGUUGUCUGUGGAGGUACCUGAAUUGCAGAAGUAUCAAGGAAAUGGUACCGUCAUCACAGUCACAGCCAGAGACAACAACAACGAAGAUUCCAAUGCAUCAGCAGACAACACCGACCUCCCCAAUACUAGAGCCCUCCAUCCAGACUAAAACAAUAUUCCUGUCCCCUAAAAAAGCCUCCUGUCUGUCUUGGUGUUGUCUUUUACCUGACUAGUGGCAUCAUGAAUACAACACAAGGAUUUUAUUGGCACAGUGCAGCAGCUGGGAACAUGUAGUGCUUUUGAGCUGCCAUAAAAUGACUAUUUCACACUUGGUUCCUUGUCUGACAACAGAAACAUCAAACCAUGUCACUUAGUUAUUGUGGCUGUGUUAAAACACAGCACAGGUGAUCACAGAGUGCAGAAGGCUGCAUGGAGCCAACCCAUUGUGCAGCUCUUGGCAUUACCCUGUAUUUAUGUAGAUUUUCUCAGACACUUUGGUGAGGUCUCUUAUCCCAUUCGUUACCAGAUGUUGCAUAUGACGCACAGUAAUUGAACAGAAGAAGAAGAAGAGCGUCAGCUGUUUCUUUGCGGGCAGAAUCUCUAUAAAAUCCACCUGGAAACGCUUGUGUGGAUGCAAGUUUCUCUCACAUGAGAACAGCAUUUUAACAAUGUAACAGUGUACUGCAAACGUAACUUUGCAGCUGUCUCUGUGGAUGAAUUUCAGGUGUAGUGCUCGUAUAUCUCCUGAGGUGCCUGCCCAUCGUUGCCCUCAUCUCAACCUUCUUCUGCCUCCACAAGUUAGGAACCAAAGCUCGGCAACGCGCUUUAGCUGCUCCUGGAAAUAAAGCCCCUGCAGCCCAAAGAACAGAAGACGAAGACCAAGAAGAAGAAGAGGAGAGAGGCGAGAGGGAGACAGAAGCAAAGUGAAGAAGGAAACAAGCAUGCAGUCACAUUCUGACAUCAGUGAUGUCACUUCUGUUUAAAGUUCAGUCUGAAUUUAUCUGUCAGACGUUAACUGGAGGGGAAGGACAGAAGCUGUGGCUUUUCACACUUCUGGAUGAAUAAAUGAUGCAUGAUAUGUGGCCUGGUGGGUGGGUGGUGUGGUGUGUUUGGCGUUUGGCUCUUUUUGUAUCUCAAACUAAAACUGACGACAAACUGAUAACAACUCUUAGACAUCUGGAAUGUGACGGCGAAAACAUAAAAUAAAAUGUUAUAGUCUGUGCAAGGUUUUCUUUCUUUUCUCUUUGUGCUAAAACCCUGUGUCUAUUUACUUCCUGGAAUUAAUUAAAAAUCUUUUGAAUAAUGGAUCAAAUGUAUUUAAUGUAUUUAUUGAUUACUCCUACAUGAAGUAUAAAGAUCGUUUUUCUCCUCUGGCAAAACAUUUAAAUGAAUCUUAAUCUCUAACUUCAGUGCACUUCAAUAGGAAUGUUGAAUCAUCAGUUUCAUUUCAUAUUUAGCAUUACAUGCUCAUAAAGGCAAUUCAAUAAACCAAACUUUUCCAAAACUAUGU
Larimichthys crocea (large yellow croaker) is the source of this 1857-nucleotide RNA transcript. RefSeq lists it as uncharacterized. The transcript has 4 exons. Lineage: Eukaryota; Metazoa; Chordata; Actinopteri; Sciaenidae. The record is from RefSeq and is a predicted model, not a curated record.